AGAGUUUGAUCAUGGCUCAGGACGAACGCUGGCGGCGUGCCUAAUACAUGCAAGUCGAGCGGAGUUAAACCUUCGGGUUUAAUUUAGCGGCGGACGGGUGAGUAACACGUAGGUAACCUGCCUAACAGACUGGGAUAACUACCGGAAACGGUAGCUAAGACCGGAUACGACCACUUGGGGGCAUCCCUGAAUGGUGAAAAGCGGAGUAAUCUGCUACUGAUAGAUGGACCUGCGGCGCAUUAGCUAGUUGGUGAGGUAGUGGCUCACCAAGGCGACGAUGCGUAGCCGACCUGAGAGGGUGAACGGCCACACUGGGACUGAGACACGGCCCAGACUCCUACGGGAGGCAGCAGUAGGGAAUCUUCGGCAAUGGACGAAAGUCUGACCGAGCAACGCCGCGUGAGUGAUGAAGGUUUUCGGAUCGUAAAACUCUGUUGCCAGGGAAGAAUGGCCAGAAGAGUAACUGCUUUUGGUUUGACGGUACCUGAGAAGAAAGCCCCGGCUAACUACGUGCCAGCAGCCGCGGUA
RNAcentral lists this ribosomal RNA (528 nucleotides) under uncultured Bacillota bacterium. RNAcentral's name for it is "bacterial SSU rRNA". It matches the Rfam family "Bacterial small subunit ribosomal RNA", at positions 8 to 522 of the family's 1533-position model. The record is from RNAcentral. Lineage: Bacteria; Bacillati; Bacillota.